AAAAUCCGUCGAAUUUUAAAUUCGUGAGGGUUCAAGUCCCUCUAUCCCCAAUAAAAAGCCCA
Molecule: transfer RNA, 62 nt
Filed under: Arundina graminifolia
Lineage: Eukaryota; Viridiplantae; Streptophyta; Magnoliopsida; Asparagales; Orchidaceae
Description: partial tRNA-Leu
Source: RNAcentral